GAUGAACGCUGGCGGCCUGCCUAAUACAUGCAAGUCGAGCGAACAGACGAGAGUGCUUGCACUCUCUGACGUUAGCGGCGGACGGGUGAGUAACACGUGGGUAACCUACCUAUAAGACUGGGAUAACUUCGGGAAACCGGAGCUAAUACCGGAUAAUAUUUAGCUUCGCAUGAAGCAAUAGUGAAAGACGGUUCUGCUGUCACUUAUAGAUGGACCCGCGGUGUAUUAGCUAGUUGGUGAGGUAACGGCUCACCAAGGCAACGAUACAUAGCCGACCUGAGAGGGUGAUCGGCCACACUGGGACUGAGACACGGCCCAGACUCCUACGGGAGGCAGCAGUAGGGAAUCUUCCGCAAUGGACGAAAGUCUGACGGAGCAAUGCCGCGUGAGUGAAGAAGGUUUUCGGAUCGUAAAACUCUGUUGUAAGGGAAGAACAAGUACGUUAGUAACUGAACGUACCUUGACGGUACCUUACCAGAAAGCCACGGCUAACUACGUG
This 499-nucleotide ribosomal RNA is filed under the name uncultured bacterium. RNAcentral describes it as "partial 16S ribosomal RNA". It matches the Rfam family "Bacterial small subunit ribosomal RNA", at positions 28 to 507 of the family's 1533-position model. The record is from RNAcentral.